UUCACAUUUUCUCCAAAUCAAACCAAAACUUCGACUCCAAACUUAGAUUUCUUGAUAAAAUCAAGUAGAAAAUUUGAUUCCAAGCUCAUUUCCUCCAUCAACUCCACCAUUCAAGCUUAGAGUUUUAUGGGUUCAUGAGAGAGAAAGCUACCAUAAAGUAAGAAAUACUGUUCUCAGCAUCUUUUAAGUUAUUAUUUGAUAUUAUUUUCAUGGGAAAGCUUUCAAAACUUGUAUAUUGAAAUUUUGUUUAUUCUUUGGCGUUAAGAAAAAAAUGGAAGUGGUUAUAUGAGGACUUCCAAGCUUGCAUUAGUAAGGAUUCAAGUGUUGGAUAGGUAGGAAUUGAGUUUUGAACCAUCCAAAACGUAAGUACCCGUUUGGACUUUCAUACUUUCCUUAGAUAAGAUUAAGUAUUAAUUUCAAUAUUUGGUUAAUAAAGUGAUGAAAUAAAAUGUAUGUGAAUGAAACAUGAAACCUGCCGAAUAUUUUGAUAUUAAGCUCUAUGUUAGACUAAUGGAAUAUGGGAACUUGUGUACAAUGGUAUAAUGAUAAUAAAAUAAAAUGAUAGAAUAAAAGUGAAUAUUUUCAUGGUAGCUAAUAAUAAUUUUAGUGAAUAUCAUACAUGUGUACUAAAUGACUUGUGUAAAAUAAUACAAUUGAGAAAAAUUCAUGUAUCAUAAGACUUAAAAGUUGAAUGUCGUUGUUGUGCAAUGUGAAAAAAUAGACAAUAAAGCCUUGAUGAGAAAGGACAAACUUAGACACAAAUGAAUAUGUACAUGAAAAAGCAUUGGUGAUAAGGCUCACCUAUAUGGGAAAUAAACAUUGAAAGAUUAUAAAUUGGCAACAAGUUUGCUAGUAGGCACUUGGAAAUGUCAUCUUAAAAUAUGAAUGAAUUUGUUAUAAAUGGCAAUGCCUAUGUAAAUGUCCUGCUCGAAUUUAUAUUUGUUUUCUUUGAGAUUUUAGAUAAGAAUGAAUUAUGGACUAGUGGUUAAGUAGUAGUAAAUUGCUCUUAUGACCCGAGUUCAACUUCCCUUACACACGUAUUUUUAAAACUUUCGACAAACCUUGUGGUCAACCCUUGAUUCCUGCCCAUGAUGUUGGGGUUGACCCAUAACUUGUUUAUCUUGUCUUCCUCUUUGUAAACAUCUCUACAAUAUUCCCUUUCACUUUUCUUUCCCAUCUUUUCCUCCAUUUGGCCGCCUUUUUCCUUUUUUCUUCUUUUCCCUACUUUUUUUUGUUUGCACCACUAUACACCACCAUUUCUUCCUUUGUUCAAUCCAUAUCUCCACCUUAUACCGCAUACUUUCUUCUUUUUCGUCGUCCCUCAUCCUUUCCCAUCCCUUUUGCAUUACUACCACCCGUCGUCAUCGCACCGCCACUACGCUGCCAUCGUGUCACUGUCGUGCUACCACUGCAUCGUCGUGUCACCGUCGACUACCACUGCCCUGUCGUCGUGUCACCGCCAUGCUGCCACCACCAUUAUUCUUCUUUUCUCCUCCUUUUUCUUAUUAUUUUUGUUGUAGCCGAAUCUCCUAUUUUUCUUCUUCCUUUUUAUUUUUCUUUGGUCGAAACUCUGUUAUUCUUUUCCUCUGAUCAUCUAUUUCAAAUCUAUGAAGCAUAUGGAUGUUUAGACCAAAUCUGAGUUGUUAGAAGUGCUAUCAUAACCGAACUGUAAACAGGAGAUAGUUGAUCAGAUCUAGGCAAGAUCUAAUCGGAUCAGUAGUGAAGGAGUACAAUGGUUUAGAUCUAAUAUUAUUUGGACGUACACAAUAAGGUGUGUUUUUUGAUAUCAGAGUGAUUAUUUAUAUUAUUUGUAUCCAAUCGAUGGCAUGGAUGUUUUUGGAGUAAUAUUGGAAUGAGAUCUGCACCUUUUGUUCGGGUUGGUCGUAUGUAAGUGUUCCUAGCUAAAGUUUAGUGUUUGGGCCGAAAUUGUGUAUACUGCAACUAUAUGUUUUGUAUUGUUUCGCGUGUUCUGUAAUUCUAAAACAUGUAUAUUGAUAAUGAUAUUAUGAUUACAUGUUAAUACAUGUCUACUGUUACAGUUAUUACUGAUAGCAUGAUAAAACAUGCUCCCUACUAAUAAU
This 2081-nucleotide long non-coding RNA is filed under the name Gossypium barbadense (sea-island cotton). RNAcentral's name for it is "long non-coding RNA (GBAR_LNC015607)". Lineage: Eukaryota; Viridiplantae; Streptophyta; Magnoliopsida; Malvales; Malvaceae. The record is from RNAcentral.